UACGUAGGGGGCAAGCGUUGUCCGGAUUUAUUGGGCGUAAAGAGCUCGUAGGUGGUUUGGUAAGUCGGAUGUGAAAUCCCCAGGCUCAACCUGGGAACUGCAUCCGAUACUGGAUGGCUUGAAUUCGGGAGAGGGAUGCAGAAUUCCAGGUGUAGCGGUGAAAUGCGUAGAUAUCAGGAAGAACACCCGUGGCUAAGGCGGCUCUCUAGUACGGUACUGACGCUGAGACGCGAAAGCGUGGGGAGCGAACAGG
Molecule: ribosomal RNA, 253 nt
Filed under: uncultured bacterium
Lineage: Bacteria
Description: partial 16S ribosomal RNA
Rfam family: Bacterial small subunit ribosomal RNA
Source: RNAcentral